RNAcentral lists this long non-coding RNA (1344 nucleotides) under Macaca fascicularis (crab-eating macaque). RNAcentral describes it as "lncRNA (ENSMFAG00000049413.1)". Lineage: Eukaryota; Metazoa; Chordata; Mammalia; Primates; Cercopithecidae. The record is from RNAcentral.
UUUUUUUUUCAAGGUGGAGUCUUGCUCUGUCACCCAGGCUGGAGUGCAGUGACAUGAUCUCAGCUCACUGCAACCUCCGCCUCCUGAGUUCAAGCAAUUUUCCUGCUGAGUAGCUGGGAUUACAGGCACCCACCACCACACCCAGCUAAUUUUUGAGUUUUUCAUAGAGACGGAGUCUCACUAUGUUGGCCAGGCUGGUCUCAAACUCCUGACCUGGUGAUCCGCCCGCCUCGGCCUCCCAAAGUGCUGUGAUUACAGGCAUGAGUCACCACGUCCGGCCAAUACUUUCAAUUUGAUUCUCAACAAGGAGGGGUCUAGGAUCCUCCUGGAGAAAGGUAAAUGGCUGGGAGUUUAAAGUACAGGGCCAGCUCCUGGAAACCUGCCACUCCUUCCCAAGACCAUGCAGAGAACCUGUGUCUCAGGCUCCCGUGUCACUCUUCUGUGGCAGCUGGCACAGGCACUUCAGACAAGAGCUUUCUCUGUCAAAACACACCAGCCCGAUUUGUCCAAGGGCACAGUCACCUGGUCCUGUCUCUGGAAGCUGAGAGGAAGGUUCAGAGGUGUGAUUUUAGAAGCAGGGGCGCAGAAAGUGCCAAGCCCACCACCCAGCAUUCCGUCACUGGAGCCCUGUUGGUUCAACCUAGAAGAUCUCUGUGUGCUCAUGUGUCCUUUUGAAGAAAUCUGGCUGGAAACAGCCAUCUGUUAAGUUACAGGUAUUUUACUCAUUUAUACUUCAGCACGGAAGAACUGAUAGCAAAUAGCAAACAUGUCGCCUGGGACAAAGGGAUGCUGACAGCCAUGUGGAAGAAUGAGGGCAAUACCCACAGAUCCCUGCCCCCCGAACUUGGCCAGCUCCACCACUGAGUGAGGCCGAAGUUUGCUCCCCUGUGGACACGAGUUGGCAUACAACUUGGAGCGCCUGUGAGCACAUGCAGCCCAGACGAGGGGCGAGGUGCACAGGGAGACUAUGGGAGGUGGCAGGCUUUUCAUAUAACUCUGUGAUCUUCAAACAAGCUUUGUAUUCAAGCACAGUGUGCAAUAUUAGUGUCAAGUUUCCAUUUAACUUUAGAAUUUUAUUCACACAACGAUUCAGUAAGCCCUCAUGAAAACAGUGAAUGAAGCAGUGAGACAACACACCAGUGCCGUCCCCAGUGGCAAACUCCUAGGGCCAUGGGCACAUCUGCUGUUUCUUUUCCAUAACCCUGGGACCCCCACACAGAGCAGGUGCCCAGCAGCCUUUGCUAACCCGGACAGGGAACCAUAAGGAUGAUCAUACUGGAGAGAGGGGCUCCGAUACAGGAGGAACAACCUCUCCCUGUUCACGUGAAGCUCUCUCCUAUUAAU